CUGUGCCAGGCCUGGGCUUGUGGCCAGGGCUGGGGGCUGUGCCAAGCCGGCCUUUGGCCUGGGGGCUCUUGGGGAGGGCGCAGGGAGGAGUCCCGGCAGGAUAAAGGUGCUCCUCACCUGGGGCAGCCUCAGCCAGCGCUCCCCACUCACUGGCAGAGGAGGAAGAGGAAGAUGAAGGUGGCUGUGCUCGCCGUGGCCCUGCUCUUCUCCAUCCUGCUGUGCCCCCCGGCACAGGCCAAGGCGCUGCUGCAAGGAGUCCAAGAUGAUGUCCAGGAGCUGGAUUUGGCCAACGUUGGGAUCCUGGAGACGCCUCUGCCCAGCGUGAGAGCGGAGCUGAAAGCCCUUCUGCGGCAGAAGCGCCUGGCUGCCUCUCUGGAAGCCUUGG
Long non-coding RNA from Poecile atricapillus (Black-capped chickadee), 385 nucleotides. RefSeq lists it as uncharacterized. The transcript is spliced from 4 exons. The record is from RefSeq and is a predicted model, not a curated record. NCBI's taxonomy places the organism in Eukaryota, Metazoa, Chordata, Aves, Passeriformes, Paridae.